CACAAGCGGUGGAGCAUGUGGUUUAAUUCGACGCAACGCGAAGAACCUUACCAGGGCUUGACAUCCCCUGACCGCGUAUGAAAGUACGUUUUCACCCUCGGGUGGACAGGGAGACAGGUGGUGCAUGGUUGUCGUCAGCUCGUGUCGUGAGAUGUUGGGUCAAGUCCCGCAACGAGCGCAACCCCUACGUUUAGUUGCUAACAGGUGAAGCUGAGCACUCUAGACGAACUGCCGUUGGCAAAACGGAGGAAGGUGGGAUGACGUCAAGUCCUCAUGGCCUUUAUGCCCAGGGCUACACACGUGCUACAAUGGGCGGUACAAAGAGCAGCGAGCUCGCGAGAGUAAGCAAAUCUCAAAAAGCCGUCCUCAGUUCGGAUUGGAGUCUGCAACUCGACUCCAUGAAGUUGGAAUCGCUAGUAAUCGCGGAUCAGCAUGCCGCGGUGAAUACGUUCCCGGGCCUU
RNAcentral lists this ribosomal RNA (461 nucleotides) under uncultured Syntrophaceae bacterium. RNAcentral's name for it is "bacterial SSU rRNA". It matches the Rfam family "Bacterial small subunit ribosomal RNA", at positions 924 to 1382 of the family's 1533-position model. Lineage: Bacteria; Pseudomonadati; Thermodesulfobacteriota; Syntrophia; Syntrophales; Syntrophaceae. The record is from RNAcentral.